UGGGAACUGAAUGUGAACACUUAAUUUAGUCUGUGAUUCUUUUUUUAAACUUUAAAGAACUUCAAGGAUGGAGUUGUGAUUAAGAAACACUCAUAGAGCUAAACUAUAAUUAGCUAGAACUACCCCUUAACCCUAAUCCUAAACUAAGGGGGCUAUACCCACUAAUCAUUAUCCUGAACACAAUCAUUAGCCUAACGCAACCAUCAGCCUAAAGCGCACCCAACAUCUACCACAUCCUAAACACUUUACAUUAAACAACCUUAUCCUAAAAACAACAAAACAGCAGCAACCUUAUCCUACAAAGGUUAUUAUCGAAAAACAUUAUCCUUAUUUCUUCUCUGUACCAUUUCAGUAUUGUUGAAUAUAUCAUAACUGAAUCAAACUUAAAGUUCAGAGACUUACUAGUAGCUGAAGCCUUGAAACAAGGUGUUGGUUGAAACCCCAUGGUCGGAAUCAACCUGCGAGGGACCCAAUAUCUUCUCUGAAACCCCAAGACCGCACCUCGGCGAGGUGGCUUGGUCGACAUGACCUUUUCCUUGCUUGAGCAGCGGCUCUGUUGUUUUGGUCAGCUUGAGUUAUGAGGCACCGCUAUCUCCAGUGUUGGUCAGGUUGCAGGUAGAAAACGCAGCCCUCACGGGCUGGAGGAAGAAGACCCUUGAGGGUCAUUGGGGAAGAAAACCCCAUUACCUUUUGUCUCUGCAUGUUUUCUUAUUCUCUCCCCUUCUUACUUGUUUUUGUUUCUUUAUUUGUUUAUUUUAUUUUAUAGUUAUUCCAUUUUUACAAUUUAUUUGUUUAUUUAUGUUUUGUAUAUAAUAUG
Molecule: long non-coding RNA, 817 nt
Filed under: Lupinus angustifolius (narrow-leaved blue lupine)
Lineage: Eukaryota; Viridiplantae; Streptophyta; Magnoliopsida; Fabales; Fabaceae
Description: long non-coding RNA (LANG_LNC000457)
Source: RNAcentral